AACGCGAAGAACCUUACCUGGUCUUGACAUCCACGGAAGUUUUCAGAGAUGAGAAUGUGCCUUCGGGAACCGUGAGACAGGUGCUGCAUGGCUGUCGUCAGCUCGUGUUGUGAAAUGUUGGGUUAAGUCCCGCAACGAGCGCAACCCUUAUCCUUUGUUGCCAGCGGUCCGGCCGGGAACUCAAAGGAGACUGCCAGUGAUAAACUGGAGGAAGGUGGGGAUGACGUCAAGUCAUCAUGGCCCUUACGACCAGGGCUACACACGUGCUACAAUGGCGCAUACAAAGAGAAGCGACCUCGCGAGAGCAAGCGGACCUCAUAAAGUGCGUCGUAGUCCGGAUUGGAGUCUGCAACUCGACUCCAUGAAGUCGGAAUCGCUAGUAAUCGUGGAUCAGAAUGCCACGGUGAAUACGUUCCCGGGCCUUGUACACACCGCCCGU
Molecule: ribosomal RNA, 439 nt
Filed under: uncultured Escherichia sp.
Lineage: Bacteria; Pseudomonadati; Pseudomonadota; Gammaproteobacteria; Enterobacterales; Enterobacteriaceae
Description: bacterial SSU rRNA
Rfam family: Bacterial small subunit ribosomal RNA
Source: RNAcentral